RNAcentral lists this ribosomal RNA (1827 nucleotides) under Triticum aestivum (bread wheat). Its description in RNAcentral is "partial small subunit ribosomal RNA". The record is from RNAcentral. Lineage: Eukaryota; Viridiplantae; Streptophyta; Magnoliopsida; Poales; Poaceae.
AUGAUUCCCUUCCAUUCAUUCCAGGAAGAGCUUUGCCAUUACCAUUGUCAUUGCCAUCACCAAGGCUGCCACUCCCGUCUCCCGGUGUUCCCAGACCUUCCCUUGAUGGCCGAUGAUGACAGCAACUGCUUUGCUGUGCAGGAUCACCUGGCACUCCCCUAUAUCACACAAAUCCUCAUGGAGGAGGAGGAUGACGUUGACGAAGACAACCCUGCACUCCUCAAAGCCCAGCGACCCUUUGCCCAAAUCCUCUCUUCCAGCAUGCAUGCCUCCACCUUAAUGGCAGACCAAGGCGGCGCCUUGGCCCUCGACGUGCACUCUCCCAGCUCGCCCAUCUUCAAGUUCAAGGGUGUUGAUGAGGUCCGCAGCUUGCUGUUGCUCCCCGAUGGGGACUACAGCACUCACAUGUUUAGCACUGCCUUCCUCAGGGGCAUGGAAGAGGCCAACAAGUUCUUGCCCACAAACUGUGAGCUGACGACCACCGGUGGGCAUGAUCAACCCAAGGAGAAAAGUGGCAGGGGCCGCAAGGACAGGCAUGGUGAGGUGGAGGCUGAUGUCAGUAGGACUAGCAGAUUGGUGGAAGCUGGUGCCGGCGAGGUGUUCGACCAAAUGCUCACUGCCAUGGGCAAUGAGACUGGGAACAGCAACAAGAAGGGGAGAAAGAGCAAGGCGCGGGUGGUUGACCUGCACACACUGCUGAUCCACUGCGCCAAGGCGGUGAUGGAUGACCGCCGUAGUGCAGGUGAGUUACUCAAGGAGAUCAAGCAGCAUGCAUCACCAACUGGGGAUGCCACACAGCGGCUUGCCUACUGGUUUGCUGAGGGGCUGGAAGCGCGGCUGACCGGCACAGGGAGCCAGGUGUACGGGUUGCUCACGGCGGAGUGCACCUCUACUGUGAGGCAUAUGCAGGCCUACCAGCUGUUCAUGUCCACCUGCUGUUUCAGGAAGGUCGCCUUCUUGUUUGCCAACAAGGCCAUUUUCAAUGCAGCAGUUGGGAAAAGCAGGUUGCAUAUCGUGGAUUAUGGCCUCCAUUCUGGGUUCCAGUGGCCUGAGCUGCUGCGCUGGUUGGCUUCAAGGGAUGGUGGCCCACCGGAGGUCAGGAUCACCCACGUUGAACUCCCACAGCCUGGGGUCUACCCGGAAAAACAUAUGGAGCAGAUAGGUAAUCGGCUGACUGACAUUGCACAAGAGCUUGGUGUGCCGUUCAAGUACCGUGCUAUCAUGGCACAGUGGCAGACCAUUUGCGUUGAGGACCUGGACAUGGAACCUGACGAGGCGCUUGCUGUGAAUGACCAGUUCAAUUUCAGGACCUUAAUGGAUGAGAGUGUCGUCAUAGCCAGCCCGAACCCCAGGGAUGCCGUCCUCGGCAACAUCAGCAAGAUGAAGCCAGACGUGUUUGUCCAAAGCACCGUGAAUGGCUCCUACGGCACCUUCUUCUUGUCACGGUUCAGAGAGGCCCUCUUCUAUCACUCUGCGCUAUUUGACAUGCUUGAUGCAACCAUGCCACGGGAGAGCAAACUGCGGCUGGCGCUGGAGCGUGACGUCUUUGGGUGGAUGGUCCUGAAUGCCAUCGCAUAUGAGGGAGAGGACCGAGUGGAGCGCGGUGAGACCUAUAAGCAUUGGCAGAUCAGAAACCAACGAGCAGGCCUGAGGCAGCUGCCACUGAACAGAGAGACUGUUAAGAUGGCUAGGGACAUGGUCAUGGGUGAGUACCACAAGGAUUUUGACAUAGACGAGGAUCACCAGUGGCUGCUACAGGGAUGGAAGGGUCGUAUUCUCUACGCCCACUCAACAUGGGUGGCAGAGGGAGCUAGCUCCCAUUGUUAG